This is a long non-coding RNA of Belonocnema kinseyi, 908 nucleotides long. RefSeq lists it as uncharacterized. NCBI's taxonomy places the organism in Eukaryota, Metazoa, Arthropoda, Insecta, Hymenoptera, Cynipidae. The transcript is spliced from 4 exons. The record is from RefSeq and is a predicted model, not a curated record.
GGAGAAUUUCUCUGAGCUUCUUUGACCUCAAGGAAAAACUCUCUGCUGUACAAUCAUGUGCAAAACUACGAAUCUUGCCGAUGUUUUACAACGAAUCCCAGAUUAAAUCGGAAUUUUAGUUUCGUCACGUUGAUGAAACUUUUGUCAUCUGGAGACAUGGACCAGAUGAACUACGUGAAAUGUCUUCACGGUUUUUCGGAUUAAUACCGUCCAUGAACGGUCGAAACGUUACACAAGUUCUGCAAGCUGUUGUCAUACUGUCUCACGAUCCUCCCACCUCACCCUGAUACAAAACAUAUUACGUGCACAUGGAAGUCUUGGAAGUGGUGUUAAAUAAGCAGGAAAGGCACCUUGCUGAAUUGAAAUGGACAACCACGCAGCUCCAAAGUUCAUGCCGAAGAUGAAGCUUCGAUGUGACAGCUUGUUUGUUUAAACAUAGUUUAACACCUAUAUUUUAAUGCUUUCGAACAUACGAAUUAUUCGAAAGCAUAGAGAAGCGUAGGCUUAAAAAUGCUGAAACAAAAUCAAGAUCCAAAGGGCCAGAAAGCGGCCGGAUAAUAUAAAAAUAACCAUAAGCCCUUGAUACACACGAUGCUUCGUGCCCUACUCUCCUUGAAAACAAGCAUGUGAAGCAGAUAAAGGAUGUUGGGUGUUUUGGACCAUUUAAAAUUAAAAGUGAAAGGAAGAAAUAGAAUACUUAUCAAAAGGGAGAGUGUGAGUACUUGCCUGCAGCUCGUCUUCGGUUGGUUUUCAGCUCACCUCCAACUCUCUUUUAACUUGCCUGCAACUCUACUGUGAUUCGCCUUUGCCUCAUACAAAAACUUCACACAAAUGUGAAACUAGUAACUUUUAUUAUGUGCAGCACAAUAUACUGUUUAUUUAGAAUUACAAAACUUGAAACUUAAUAA